GAGCUACUGAUGCUACUGCACCACAUGUGUUUUUCUUUGAAACAAACUUGCUUUGGCGGUGGGCCCAGCCUGCCGCCAGAGGUCUAAACUUACAACCAAUUUUUUAUUAACUUGUCACACCAGAUUAUUACUAAUAGUCAAAACUUUCAACAACGGAUCUCUUGGUUCUCGCAUCGAUGAAGAACGCAGCGAAAUGCGAUACGUAAUAUGAAUUGCAGAUAUUCGUGAAUCAUCGAAUCUUUGAACGCACAUUGCGCCCUCUGGUAUUCCGGAGGGCAUGCCUGUUUGAGCGUCGUUUCUCCCUCAAACCGCUGGGUUUGGUGUUGAGCAAUACGACUUGGGUUUGCUUGAAAGACGGUAGUGGUAAGGCGGGAUCGCUUUGACAAUGGCUUAGGUCUAACCAAAAACAUUGCUUGCGGCGGCAACGUCUACCACGUAUAUCUUCAAACUUUGACCUCAAAUCAGGUAGGACUACCCGCUGAACUUAAGCAUAUCAAUAAGCGGAGGAA
This 509-nucleotide ribosomal RNA is filed under the name Candida albicans. RNAcentral describes it as "eukaryotic LSU rRNA". The stretch from base 142 to 295 matches the Rfam family "5.8S ribosomal RNA". The record is from RNAcentral. Lineage: Eukaryota; Fungi; Ascomycota; Pichiomycetes; Serinales; Debaryomycetaceae.